RNAcentral lists this RNase P RNA (387 nucleotides) under Sphingomonas sp. RNAcentral describes it as "RNase P RNA component class A". It matches the Rfam family "Bacterial RNase P class A". Rfam says of the family: Ribonuclease P (RNase P) is a ubiquitous endoribonuclease, found in archaea, bacteria and eukarya as well as chloroplasts and mitochondria. Its best characterised activity is the generation of mature 5'-ends of tRNAs by cleaving the 5'-leader elements of precursor-tRNAs. The record is from RNAcentral. Lineage: Bacteria; Pseudomonadati; Pseudomonadota; Alphaproteobacteria; Sphingomonadales; Sphingomonadaceae.
CCAGAGGAUCGGGCGGCCGCGGGUGCGCAAGCACGCGAGGAAAGUCCGGGCUCCGCGAAACGACGGUGGCGGGUAACGCCCGCCGGGCCAGAAAGCGAUUUUUGGCCCAGGGAAAGUGCCACAGAGAGUAGACCGCCAACGUCUUCGGACACGGUAAGGCUGAAAGGGUGCGGUAAGAGCGCACCGCGGGGCCGGUAACGGUCGCGGCACGGCAAACCCCACCGGGAGCAAGACCGAAUAGGGGCGGCGCAUGGGCUUCGUUUCAGCUCGUCGCCCGGGUUGGUUGCUGGAGGCGGCGUGCGAGCGUCGUCCUAGAGGAAUGGUCGCCCAUCCCCCGGAUGAUGGUCCGGGGGAGGACAGAACCCGGCUUAUAGAUCCUGUGGCGCU